Molecule: ribosomal RNA, 482 nt
Filed under: uncultured bacterium
Lineage: Bacteria
Description: partial 16S ribosomal RNA
Rfam family: Bacterial small subunit ribosomal RNA
Source: RNAcentral
AGUGAACGUUGGCGGCGUGGAUUAGGCAUGCAAGUCGAGCGAGAACCGUAGCAAUAUGGGGACAGCGGCGAAAGGGACAGUAAUGUGUAGGUACCUACCUCCGGGUUCGGGAUAGCUGCGGGAAACUGCAGGUAAUACCGAAUAACGUCUCCGGACCAAAGGUGUGAUUCCACCUGGAGAGGGGCCUGCAUCCUAUUAGCUUGUUGGCGGGGUAACGGCCCACCAAGGCGACGAUGGGUAGCGGGUGUGAGAGCACGACCCGCGUCAUUGGGACUGAGACACGACCCAGACACCUACGGGGGGCUGCAGUCGUGAAUCUUCGGCAAGGGGCGCAAGCCUGACCGAGCGACGCCGCGUGCGGGAUGAAGGCCUUCGGGUUGUAAACCGCUGUCGUAGAGGAGGAAAUGCAGGGGGGUUCUCCCCUCUGUUUGACCUAUUCUAGGAGGAAGGACGGGCUAAGUUCGUGCCAGCCGCCGCCGUAA